CAGCUCUGGCUCUUCAAACUACAGGGAUGGAGGCUAAACAUACGUUGCGGAGGCGCUCGACGGGCACCUCGUCUGAUCUCCACUGGUUCUUACAGGAAAUCUGCUCAGUCGUCCCUUAUCACGCGUCCCCGUCCGCCUGAACGCUGCGUCUUCGCUGCGUCUUCGCUGCGUCUUCGCUGCGUCCUCACUGCGUCUUCGCUGCGUCUUCGCUGCCUUUUUCCUGCGUCUUCACUGCGUCUUUGCUGCCUUUUUGCUGCAUCUUCACUGUCUUUUUGCUGCGUCUUCGCUGCAUCUUCGCUGCGUCUUCGCUGCAUCUUCGCUGCCUUUUUGCUGCGUCUUCACUGCGUCUUCGCUGCGUCUUCACUGCGUUUUUGCUGCCUUUUUGCUGCGUCUUCGCUGCGUCUUCGCUGCGUCUUCGCUGCAUCUUCACUGAGUCUUCGCUGCGUCUUCGCUGCGUCUUCGCUGCGUCUUCGCUGCCUUUUUGCUGCCUCUUCACUGCGUCUUCACUGCGUCUUCGCUGCCUUUUUGCUGCGUCUUCACUGCGUCUUCGCUGCGUCUUCACUGCGUUUUUGCUGCGUUUUUGCUGCCUUUUUGCUGCGUCUUCGCUGCGUCUUCACUGUGUCUUCGCUGCCUUUUUGCUGCGUCUUCGCUGCCUUUUUGCUGCGUCUUCACUGCGUCUUUGCUGCCUUUUUGCUGCGUCUUCGCUGCAUCUUCGCUGCGUCUUCGCUGCAUCUUCGCUGCCUUUUUGCUGCGUCUUCACUGCGUCUUCGCUGCGUCUUCACUGCGUUUUUGCUGCCUUUUUGCUGCGUCUUCGCUGCCUUUUUGCUGCGUCUUCGCUGCGUCUUCACUGCGUCUUUGCUGCCUUUGUGCUGCGUCUUCGCUGCCUUUUUGCUGCGUCUUCGCUGCCUUUUUGCUGCGUCUUCACUGCGUCUUCGCUGCCUUUUUGCUGCGUCUUCGCUGCGUCUUCGCUGCAUCUUUGCUGCGUCUUCGCUGCGUCUUCGCUGCAUCUUCGCUGCCUUUUUGCUGCGUCUUCGCUGCAUCUUCGCUGCCUUUUUGCUGUGUCUUCACUGCGUCUUCGCUGCGUCUUUGCUGCCUUUUUGCUGCGUCUUCACUGCGUCUUCGCUGCGUCUUUGCUGCCUUUCUGCUGCGUCUUCACUGCCUUUUUGCUGCGUCUUCGCUGCGUCUUCACUGCAUCUUCGCUGCCUUUUUGCUGCGUCUUCGCUGCGUAUUCACUGCGUCUUUGCUGCCUUUCUGCUGCGUCUUCACUGCGUCUUCGCUGCGUCCUCGCUGCGUCUUCACUGUGUCUUUGCUGUCUUUUUGCUGCAUCUUCACUGCCUUUUUGCUGCGUCUUCGCUGCGUCUUCGCUGCAUCUUCGCUGCUUUUUUGCUGCGUCUUCACUGCGUCUUUGCUGCGUCUUUGCUGCCUCUUUGCUGCUCCAGUCUGUUUGCGUGUGCGACUGUGCACGAAGGCCGCCGCAUCCUGAAGCUGAUGAAUACUUUCCGCUUGUUUGCCGCUCCUUCGUCGGAGCUCUGGGAAAAAAGGCCCGGACGGCACUUCCUCAGCAAGGUCAAGAGUCUCUGUGUGUUUAUGUGUGAGAGGGAGGAGAAUUUACACUUCACAGCACAUCAGACUCUGAGAAUUAUGACUUAUUCAUCCCCCGUGAUGGAGCCGCUGCCUGUGAGAGCCCUCUGCGUCCCAGCUGCCUUUGAUAGAUGUGUAUCUUCACACUGUCAGAUCUUUGUUCCUGCUGCUCACGUACGUCUGCGUCCCGGCCGUAGAUCUGGAUCAGGACCCGCUCUGACAGACCACGCUUCCGCCGCCGCGCUGGAGUCGACUGAUGAUGCGGCAGAUUUGCUGCGAGGUGAAAGGUGACCGGCGUCCGAUCUGGACCCGCUCGUUCCCACGCUGCUCUCCUGUCCCGACAGGAACCGAGUCCACCACACAAGACUCAGACUCCGAACUCGGCCAAUGUCAACUCUUUUUUUUACCCGUGGACUUCAUGACUGGCUGUGAAACCCUCUCGGCCGACCAGCUUGCACGCUCAAUCAAUUUCCAACUGAUGAAGCAUAACAUGAGAUUGAGUCAAAGCCGGGACAAAGGAGCGGAUUCAGGCAUAUGUGGGUCAGAGAGCCGGCCGGUUGUUAGAGCCGGAGAUCUACAGUAAUUGGUGUGAGAUAUCAGCCCUGGCUGUGGGAGCGUGCCAAGGCGCUGGGGUAAUGAGCGCCGGCCACUCACAGUGAAUGGGAGCUGUAGGUGGGAGGCGGAGGACGGAUCCAAAGCCCAGUCGGCCCAAAUUGUUCGGUGAGGGAGAAGCUUCCAAAAUAAAAACAAAUUAAAACUACUUGAACUGCUGAAA
This is a long non-coding RNA of Betta splendens (Siamese fighting fish), 2356 nucleotides long. Lineage: Eukaryota; Metazoa; Chordata; Actinopteri; Anabantiformes; Osphronemidae. The record is from Ensembl.